AAAAACAUCGUCUUUUGUCAAACCCACAUAAAAGAUAAUGCCUGCCCAGUGAAAGCUUUAAACGGCCGCGUUAGCGUGAGCGUGCUAAGGUAGCGUAAUAAAUAGCCUCUCAAUUGGAGGCCAGUGAAUGGCAAGACUAGGGACACCUGUACCCUGUAUAGAAAAACAAUUUUUCAUUUGGGUUAAAAGACCCAAAUAAUAAAGGAAGACGAAAAGACCCCGCGGAACUUUACCUUUUCCAGCCUCUACAUGCUCAGAAACACAAGAACAAAAGGUUUGAUUGGGGCAAUCUCGGAACCACCCAAACUUCCGAUUUAUAAUAUAAGAAUAUACAAAACUCAAUAAGGACCAAAAAGAAGUUACCCCGGGGAUAACAGCGUAAUCCAACUUGAGAGUACACAUCGAAAGCUGGGUUUGCGACCUCGAUGUUGGCUUAAGGAUAUCCACAUAA
RNAcentral lists this ribosomal RNA (451 nucleotides) under Lampsilis ornata (southern pocketbook). RNAcentral describes it as "partial large subunit ribosomal RNA". It matches the Rfam family "Bacterial large subunit ribosomal RNA", at positions 1809 to 2553 of the family's 2925-position model. The record is from RNAcentral. Lineage: Eukaryota; Metazoa; Mollusca; Bivalvia; Unionida; Unionidae.